This 500-nucleotide unclassified non-coding RNA is filed under the name uncultured Glomus. Its description in RNAcentral is "SSU rRNA". It matches the Rfam family "Eukaryotic small subunit ribosomal RNA", at positions 591 to 1092 of the family's 1831-position model. The record is from RNAcentral. Lineage: Eukaryota; Fungi; Glomeromycota; Glomeromycetes; Glomerales; Glomeraceae.
CCAAUAGCGUAUAUUAAAGUUGUUGCAGUUAAAAAGCUCGUAGUUGAAUUUCGGGGUCAGUAGGUUGGUCGUGCCACCGGUACGUACUGGUCUCACUGAUUCCUCCUUCCUGAUGAGCUGUAAUGCCAUUAAUUUGGUGUUGCAGGGAAUCUGGACUGUUACUUUGAAAAAAUUAGAGUGUUUAAAGCAGGCUAACGCUUGAAUACAUUAGAAUGGAAUAAUGAAAUAGGACGUUCGAUCCUAUUUUGUUGGUUUCUAGGAUUGACGUAAUGAUUAAUAGGGAUAGUUGGGGGCAUUAGUAUUCAAUUGUCAGAGGUGAAAUUCUUGGAUUUAUUGAAGACUAACUACUGCGAAAGCAUUUGCCAAGGAUGUUUUCAUUAAUCAAGAACGAAAGUUAGGGGAUCGAAGACGAUCAGAUACCGUCGUAGUCUUAACCAUAAACUAUGCCGACUAGGGAUCGGAUGAUGUUAAUUUUUUAAUGACUCAUUCGGCGCCUUACG